UCGAACGGUGACGACGGGGCUUGCCCUGUCUGAUCAGUGGCGAACGGGUGAGUAACACGUGAGUAACCUGCCCUUGACUCUGGGAUAACCGCGGGAAACGGCGGCUAAUACCGGAUAUGAGACGUACAGGCAUCUGUUGCGUCUGGAAAGAUUUAUCGGUCAAGGAUGGGCUCGCGGCCUAUCAGCUUGUUGGUGGGGUGAUGGCCUACCAAGGCGACGACGGGUAGCCGGCCUGAGAGGGCGACCGGCCACACUGGGACUGAGACACGGCCCAGACUCCUACGGGAGGCAGCAGUGGGGAAUAUUGCACAAUGGGCGCAAGCCUGAUGCAGCGACGCCGCGUGAGGGAUGAAGGCCUUCGGGUUGUAAACCUCUUUCAGCAGGGAAGAAGCGAAAGUGACGGUACCUGCAGAAGAAGCGCCGGCUAACUACGUGC
Molecule: ribosomal RNA, 436 nt
Filed under: bacterium M2-121-16S
Lineage: Bacteria
Description: bacterial SSU rRNA
Rfam family: Bacterial small subunit ribosomal RNA
Source: RNAcentral